AUUGAACGCUGGCGGCAGGCCUAACACAUGCAAGUCGAACGAGUGGCGGACGGGUGAGUAAUGUCUGGGAAACUGCCCGAUGGAGGGGGAUAACUACUGGAAACGGUAGCUAAUACCGCAUACCAUCGGAUGUGCCCAGAUGGGAUUAGCUAGUAGGUGGGGUAACGGCUCACCUAGGCGACGAUCCCUAGCUGGUCGGAGCGGAUGACAGGCAACACGGGAACGUAGCCACGGUCCAGACGCAUACGGGAGGCAGCAGUGGGGAAUAGUGGACAAUGGGCGCAAGCCUUAUGCAGCCAGGCCGCGUGUAUGAAGAAGGCUGUCGGGUUGUAAAGGACUUUCAGCGAGGAGGCGUUACUCGCAGAAGAAGCACCGGCUAACUCCGUGCCAGCAGCCGCGGUAAUUC
This 406-nucleotide ribosomal RNA is filed under the name uncultured bacterium. RNAcentral's name for it is "partial 16S ribosomal RNA". It matches the Rfam family "Bacterial small subunit ribosomal RNA", at positions 29 to 526 of the family's 1533-position model. The record is from RNAcentral.